CUCUCUGUUAUACAACAUCACACUUUGUAACACACACACACACACACACACCGUCCUUUACCAAAAAUCACAAAAACCAUCCCCCUCACCGUAGCCUACCGUACGGUUGACAUUACGACGGCCACCGCCCCCCGCACAAAUCACCACCGCCACAACUCACCACCGCCGCACAUCACUGGUGAUUCAAUCACUACACUUCUUGUCACUCAACAGCAGCUGGAGCAUUCAACCUACACUAUAUAAGUUGCCAUCCAGCUUUAGCCCAAAGUGGAUAUGAGGAAAACGUGCCCACUGUUAAACAACAUACACAAAUCUUUUCGUCUUUGGAAAGAAUCGUUCUUAGCUGCUACUCAUGAACUUCAGCGUAUAUAUGGAAAGGAUGAAGGGAAACAAUUGUCGUAAAGUUGCCUUGUUCAAAUAUAAAGAAAUAUAAGGGGAGAAAGAUUACGAUUACUGGUUUGCCUGGGACUCACUGUCAUCAUUCAAUUUUCCAAGUCCAGUUUGUGCUUUGCAUACUUAGUUACUACCAAUUUGCACAUGCAUUGUGUGUGCAAGACAUUUUACCUGUAAAGAUUAUAUAAAAAUCAAAAUUGAUUUUAUUGGUUAUUGCGUGUUGUGGAGGUUUUUUUUCUUCUUUUUCUGUGAAACAUUUAUUGGGAGUCUUUUAACUGGCUGGACCAAUGAAAAGGUAGUAUGGGAGUUGAAAGUGAUACAAAGAGACAUGGAAAACCACAAAGAAUGUUUUGUUGAGCUUGUGAGAAAAGACAUGUUGCUGUGACCUUAUGGUAAUCAUUUUGUGUGUGUGAGAUGGAUAGAAGGAAUUUUUAACAAACUAAGUUGUCAGGAUGAAGGAUUGUUUUGGUCAAACUUAGCAAUUAUUUGUUUUUGAAGUCAUCAUGAUGCUACAAGAUAACCUGGUGAUGUGCAUUCUUGAACUGCUAACCCAUAAAUUAGUCCCGCUUAUGAGGAGUUGGUCAGUAAGUAUGGGUUUGUGUCUCUUUCUGUUGCCCUGAUUUGCACAAUUAUUAUUUUUCAGGGAUUUCCUAAGCUGUGCUCUUUAU
Camellia sinensis is the source of this 1061-nucleotide non-coding RNA. NCBI's taxonomy places the organism in Eukaryota, Viridiplantae, Streptophyta, Magnoliopsida, Ericales, Theaceae. The record is from RefSeq and is a predicted model, not a curated record.